RNAcentral lists this small RNA (113 nucleotides) under Epilithonimonas mollis. Its description in RNAcentral is "Chryseobacterium molle Flavo-1 RNA". It matches the Rfam family "Flavo-1 RNA". Lineage: Bacteria; Pseudomonadati; Bacteroidota; Flavobacteriia; Flavobacteriales; Weeksellaceae. The record is from RNAcentral.
CAUUAGCCCCGAUAGAAGCGGCAUCCUUUUUUGUCUUUGCGCCAGAAGGUUGUUCCGGACUGUUUGCCUGUUCCGCAAUGACAAAAAAGAUAUAGCGGAUAGCGGGAUAAAGC